CAGACCUGAUCAGCUGGUGACUGCUCUAUGAAGUGCUGUUCAACCUCCCCUAAGGGGGAGAUUCGAGGGGGUCUCCUGAUUGCUGAACACUACGCCAUGGUUGUUGUCAUCUCCAAAAAGUUUGCCCUGCCCAUAUCAACAGUGGAAGAGAACAUGAGAUGGGCCUUGAGGAGGCUUCGUGUCAUGUACUGCGGGGAGAAUAUAUAAACUGUUUAGUGCUGAGCAAUAUGUUCCUUUGUUCAUAGGUGUAAAUAUGUGUAAAGGGCUAUUCCAGGAAAAGAUAGGAUGAAGGAUUCCUUAAUGUUUCAUUUUAUAAAUCCGGUACCACCAACACAGUUAAAAACAAUUAUUAUUAAUUUUAUCCUCUGUAUCACCCCUCACUAACUGAAACUGUAUAUAAUCAUGGUUCAUACCCUUCCUCCCAUUUUUACCUGUGGUAGCCCAAAGAGGAGAAUGUUAUUUAUUUUAAUUUAUUAUGUUAAAUGUGCUCGCAUAUUGUGAUAAUGUAUCUUGGGUAGAUGUUUUCCUGGUUUUGUUAAAAAUGCACUGUAAAAAUGUUCACAUUAUUUGUUUUUUUUAAUAUAAACAUUGUUUUUUGCAAA
This is a long non-coding RNA of Dreissena polymorpha, 602 nucleotides long. RefSeq lists it as uncharacterized. The transcript has 2 exons. The record is from RefSeq and is a predicted model, not a curated record. NCBI's taxonomy places the organism in Eukaryota, Metazoa, Mollusca, Bivalvia, Myida, Dreissenidae.